UGAAUGGCAUCACGAGGGCUUAACUGUCUCCCCUCCCCAGUCAAUGAAAUUGAUCUCCCCGUGCAGAAGCGGGGAUAAUACCAUAAGACGAGAAGACCCUAUGGAGCUUUAGACGUCAGAGCAGCCCAUGUAAAGCACCCCUUAACAAAGGAAAAAACCAAAUGAAGCCUGCCCUAAUGUCUUUGGUUGGGGCGACCGCGGGGAAAUACAAAACCCCCAUGUGGAGUAGGAAUACACAUUCCUAAACCCAAGAGCUCCCGCUCUAAUGAACAGAAAUUCUGACCAAUAAGAUCCGGCACACGCCGAUCAACGGACCGAGUUACCCUAGGGAUAACAGCGCAAUCCCCUUAAAGAGCCCUUAUCGACAAGGGGGUUUACGACCUCGAUGUUGGAUCAGGACAUCCUAAUGGUGCAGCCGCUAUUAAGGGUUCGUUUGUUCAACGAUUAAAGU
Molecule: ribosomal RNA, 451 nt
Filed under: Pagrus major (red seabream)
Lineage: Eukaryota; Metazoa; Chordata; Actinopteri; Spariformes; Sparidae
Description: partial 16S ribosomal RNA
Rfam family: Bacterial large subunit ribosomal RNA
Source: RNAcentral